Molecule: non-coding RNA, 626 nt
Organism: Paramuricea clavata
Lineage: Eukaryota; Metazoa; Cnidaria; Anthozoa; Malacalcyonacea; Plexauridae
Source: the annotation of a GenBank genome assembly
AGCAUGCGAAAGGCUGAUUUUCUAGAAUAAAAUGAAUAGUUAAAGGCUUAAACUAAACCAAAUUGACUAUUAUCUAUUAGCUCAAAAUAUGAUUACAACUUUAGUUAAAUUUUGUGCGCGAGCCAUUUUUAAUUUGUUGGAAAAGACACCCCCCUCCCCCUGGUUCACAAAAUAUGAGUUUGAGAAUUUUUUUUCAUUAUUCUACAUUAUAAGUACCCAAAGAAGCUAAAUAUAUACUUAUAAAAAACCGGAUACAAAUAGGUGUUUUGCGAUUUCAAUUUGUUGGCGAGCAAUUUCAAUUUGUUGGCGAGCGAGUGGGGGGGGGGGGGGGGGGGGGGGGAGGAGGUUGUAAAAAAAUUUUUCCGGACUUAAAAAUUUUUUCAGGACACAAAUUUUGCACAAAUUAGGUUUAGAAAAUUUUUUUCACACCAUUACUUAUAUAAAAAAUAGUUCAAAAUUAUUUUUCUCUUACUUUCCUUACACUGCAUGUACCUCUGAUAGGUCCUGUCAACUUAUAAUUUUCCAUAUUGAAAAGUCUCUGCACGAAUUUUUUUUUUCAAACAUUUCUGGUGCACGAAUAUUUUUUCUGUUUCCCCUGCUCGAUUUUUAUUUUUGCUUUUGCCGCC